Molecule: ribosomal RNA, 429 nt
Filed under: Actinomycetes bacterium
Lineage: Bacteria; Bacillati; Actinomycetota; Actinomycetes
Description: Actinobacteria bacterium partial 16S ribosomal RNA
Rfam family: Bacterial small subunit ribosomal RNA
Source: RNAcentral
UAGGGAAUCUUCCGCAAUGGGCGAAAGCCUGACGGAGCAACGCCGCGUGAGUGAUGAAGGUCUUCGGAUUGUAAAACUCUGUUAUUAGGGAAGAACAAAUGUGUAAGUAACUAUGCACGUCUUGACGGUACCUAAUCAGAAAGCCACGGCUAACUACGUGCCAGCAGCCGCGGUAAUACGUAGGUGGCAAGCGUUAUCCGGAAUUAUUGGGCGUAAAGCGCGCGUAGGCGGUUUUUUAAGUCUGAUGUGAAAGCCCACGGCUCAACCGUGGAGGGGCAUUGGAAACUGGAAAACUUGAGUGCAGAAGAGGAAAGUGGAAUUCCAUGUGUAGCGGUGAAAUGCGCAGAGAUAUGGAGGAACACCAGUGGCGAAGGCGACUUUCUGGUCUGUAACUGACGCUGAUGUGCGAAAGCGUGGGGAUCAAACAGG